AAUAAGUGCAGUUUUACACUAUUUAUCUCCAACGUUUGACCGUUCGUCUUAUUUGAAUUUUUUUUAUGAUUAUUAUUUUUAUUGUUAUUAGAUGAUAAAACAUGAAUAGUACUUUAUGUGUGACUAAUUUUUUUAAAAAAAUUUAAAUCAAAUGGUCGGUCAAACGUUGGACACGGAUUUCUACGGCUGCACUUAUU
Non-coding RNA from Oryza glaberrima (African rice), 197 nucleotides. NCBI's taxonomy places the organism in Eukaryota, Viridiplantae, Streptophyta, Magnoliopsida, Poales, Poaceae. The record is from Rfam.